UACGGAGGAUCCAAGCGUUAUCCGGAUUUAUUGGGUUUAAAGGGUGCGUAGGCGGCCUGUUAAGUCAGGGGUGAAAGACGGUAGCUCAACUAUCGCAGUGCCCUUGAUACUGAUGGGCUUGAAUGGACUAGAGGUAGGCGGAAUGUGACAAGUAGCGGUGAAAUGCAUAGAUAUGUCACAGAACACCGAUUGCGAAGGCAGCUUACUAUGGUCCUAUUGACGCUGAGGCACGAAAGCGUGGGGAUCGAAC
Molecule: ribosomal RNA, 250 nt
Filed under: uncultured bacterium
Lineage: Bacteria
Description: partial 16S ribosomal RNA
Rfam family: Bacterial small subunit ribosomal RNA
Source: RNAcentral